This is a non-coding RNA of Paramuricea clavata, 904 nucleotides long. The record is from the annotation of a GenBank genome assembly. Lineage: Eukaryota; Metazoa; Cnidaria; Anthozoa; Malacalcyonacea; Plexauridae.
AUUAAAGUGGCCCUGACACAAAAAUUGAUUUUUUGUGUAUUGAAAGUACACAUUAUGUGGAGUGUUUUGGUGAAAGAAUUUUUUUAUUUCAUUGAAACGAAAAAAUUUUAGAGCCGUUUGAACACGCAAAAUGUGGGCUUUUGUUGGCACGCGUCCGUGUUCGAAGGAAACUGGAACGAGCGAUUUUUGUUACGUCACGCAAGUGAGUCGGGGUAUUCUAUAAUUUAUUCGACUGGUACCGUUGGCGCAUAUAGUCCAUAUACAAAUAUACUAGAUUUGUGAUAAAAAAAUAUAUGCUUUUUUACUAUGUUGCAGCUAACUGUACCAAUAAACCAUGUUUAAAAGAUGGAAUAAGUUUACACAAUAUUCCAUACUUCAAUAACGAACGCGCGGAAGCUAAAAGACGAAGAAAAGUAUGGGUUUAAUUGUUUGUGCCGUCAAAGCACAGGUCAAAGAUAGACUUCGACUAUAUGCUCGGAUCAUUUUUGACCAGAGGAUUACGAGAGGCGAUUCUUUUCGUGUCUUUCGUUGACGGGGCUCGGCAAGCCUAACUAUCCGAAGCUAUUAAAGACUGACGAUAAUUUGCUUUGUUUUGAUGAUUCAAUUUCGGUUUUACGGGCCCGCUAAUAAUAUAAAUAUUUUGUAAUACCGAAAUGAAAGAUGCAAAUCUGAAGACACAAGCUUGAAAAUAACACUCUAAAUAGUGUUUUCGAUUCCGGUUCGAAUAAGACUAUUACGAAAAAGAUAUUUCCAAAGGGGCCGAAUUUAUGUUCGGCGAAAGAUAUGACUAGUUUACAUUGUUCGAGACUAUAAAUUGAGUAAUAUAAUGAAUUAUGACACCGCUUGACCUAUCAAAGUCAAAGACAAAGGUCAUAAAUAGCUAUACCAUCUGACUAAAACUAUA